GUUGAAUCCCCUGUGGGCACGUAGAGAAGUUUUCAAGUUUGUGUAUUAGGUUUCGCUCUCCUCAGAAUGAAAAGAUCUCCCCCCACACGUUAGUCAGCUGACUUGUAGCCUCAUCUGCGAAUUCUAUGUCGUACUUGUAAAGUUCUAAAUCGUAUCUGUCUCAUUGAAGUUAGACUGGAACUAUUCCGCCGGUUACUCAACAGGUGACGUUGUAGGAAGCCUGUAAGAGCUUUACAGAAGUGUCGUAGCCUACUUUGGGGAGAACAGGACAUAAAAGACCUUGCCCAAGCGUAAGGUUAUCUGUUCUCCAAAAAGCGUUGCGUGCGUGUCAUUCAUAAUGCAGAAACAGAAGGGAUCUCCUUUAGCUCCUCCUAGGCCCACCGAAGAGGAGCUUGACAAUCCAACCAAACACAGUCUGGAAAUGGAUAAGGAUAUUGAAUUCAAGACUGAAUGGUACUACCCGCUGGACAACAACGAAGGAAGUAGUGAGCUUGCUCCAAAAAAGAAAUCAGGCAUGAUGGGGAUGAUGCAGAAAGUCAACCCAUUCAAAUCCUCUUCUCAGAGCUCCACAGCUGGACCACGAGCAGAGGCCUCAGUGGGGACUGCAGGAGGACAAGGCCCAGGCACCAAACAG
Clupea harengus (Atlantic herring) is the source of this 634-nucleotide long non-coding RNA. The record is from Ensembl. Lineage: Eukaryota; Metazoa; Chordata; Actinopteri; Clupeiformes; Clupeidae.